RNAcentral lists this ribosomal RNA (253 nucleotides) under uncultured bacterium. RNAcentral's name for it is "partial 16S ribosomal RNA". It matches the Rfam family "Bacterial small subunit ribosomal RNA", at positions 524 to 776 of the family's 1533-position model. The record is from RNAcentral.
UACGGAGGGGGCUAGCGUUGUUCGGAAUUACUGGGCGUAAAGCGCACGUAGGCGGCUUUGUAAGUUAGAGGUGAAAGCCCGGGGCUCAACUCCGGAAUUGCCUUUAAGACUGCAUCGCUAGAGUUGUGGAGAGGUAAGUGGAAUUCCGAGUGUAGAGGUGAAAUUCGUAGAUAUUCGGAAGAACACCGGUGGCGAAGGCGACUUACUGGACACAUAUUGACGCUGAGGUGCGAAAGCGUGGGGAGCAAACAGG